This is a long non-coding RNA of Sceloporus undulatus (fence lizard), 398 nucleotides long. RefSeq lists it as uncharacterized. The transcript has 3 exons. The record is from RefSeq and is a predicted model, not a curated record. Lineage: Eukaryota; Metazoa; Chordata; Lepidosauria; Squamata; Phrynosomatidae.
UUCUGCACUUGGGUCUUCAUACACACACCCGCCCUUGGAGAAGGAAUCUUGUCUUUCCCAGGAGGGCAAGUGGAAAAAGAAAAGAAAACAUGCUCCAACAGCCACCAGAGAUUUGGAAUGAACCUGUGUUGCUUCAUCUGCUUCUUUAGGAACUCUUGCUGACCUUGUGAACCAUCGUUUAUGUUUUUCCAUGCUUCUGACUUUAAUAUUCAGCACUAGAUUCACCAGCCUCUUCUACAGAUGCUCAACAUUCAAUCCUGGAGGCUCCACUUCAUCAUCAGAUGUGCAGUCUAGGAAACAUAAGAAGAAUUUUACAGCCCAGGAAGAACAUCAUUUCUGCUGAAUGUGCCAAUGGGCCCUGAGAUCAACUCGCCGGAACUGCAGUAGUGUCAAGAAGA